RNAcentral lists this ribosomal RNA (253 nucleotides) under uncultured bacterium. Its description in RNAcentral is "partial 16S ribosomal RNA". It matches the Rfam family "Bacterial small subunit ribosomal RNA", at positions 524 to 776 of the family's 1533-position model. The record is from RNAcentral.
UACGUAGGGUGCAAGCGUUGUCCGGAAUUAUUGGGCGUAAAGAGCUCGUAGGCGGUCUGUCGCGUCGGCUGUGAAAACCCGGGGCUCAACCCCGGGCCUGCAGUCGAUACGGGCAGACUAGAGUGCGGUAGGGGAGACUGGAAUUCCUGGUGUAGCGGUGAAAUGCGCAGAUAUCAGGAGGAACACCGGUGGCGAAGGCGGGUCUCUGGGCCGUAACUGACGCUGAGGAGCGAAGGCGUGGGGAGCGAACAGG